UACGGAGGGUGCGAGCGUUAAUCGGAAUUACUGGGCGUAAAGCGCACGUAGGUGGCUUUGCAAGUCGGUUGUGAAAUCCCCGGGCUUAACCUGGGAACUGCAGUCGAGACUGCUUUGCUUGAGUAUGGGAGAGGGAGGUGGAAUUUCCGGUGUAGCGGUGAAAUGCGUAGAUAUCGGAAGGAACAUCAGUGGCGAAGGCGACCUCCUGGACCAAUACUGACACUCAAGUGCGAAAGCGUGGGGAGCAAACAGG
This 253-nucleotide ribosomal RNA is filed under the name uncultured bacterium. RNAcentral's name for it is "partial 16S ribosomal RNA". It matches the Rfam family "Bacterial small subunit ribosomal RNA", at positions 524 to 776 of the family's 1533-position model. The record is from RNAcentral.